This 520-nucleotide ribosomal RNA is filed under the name Metalycaeus varius. Its description in RNAcentral is "Chamalycaeus varius partial 16S ribosomal RNA". Lineage: Eukaryota; Metazoa; Mollusca; Gastropoda; Architaenioglossa; Cyclophoridae. The record is from RNAcentral.
UAGCAGAUUAACUUUUUUUUAAAAUUUCUCGAAAUUUGGGGAGUAACCUUUACUUUACGUAGAUGUAGCAGAAUCUUGUUUUAAGUUUAAGGUGGAAAUUAUAUGUUUUUCGUACCAAAUGAUAGCUAGUUUCAAUAGAAAUAUAUAGAAGUAUAGGCUUUAUAGUAAUUGUUUUUUAAGGUGGAAAUACAAUUUUAUAAAUGCUCGUUUAUAUAAGGCUAAGCUUGUAUAAUUAAUUAUAGAAUUUCGUUAAUGAGCAUAAAAUUUAAGCUUCCCAUUGGCUAUAAUUUAGAGUUUAUUAUAAAAUAUGUAUAUAGAUACAUAUAUUAUUUUGUUUUAUUUAUAUUGAUUUACUGCUAAAUAAUAAAGUAAUAAGGUGUAUGCUAAGAUGAGUAUUGAUAUAAAUAUAAGUAGGAUAAAAGUAAAUAAACCUAAUUUUAUUUAAAAAUAAGUAUUUAAGUACUCGAAAGGAACUCGGCAAAAACAAGCUCCGCCUGUUUAGCAAAAACAUGGCUCUUUG